RNAcentral lists this unclassified non-coding RNA (406 nucleotides) under Pseudognaphalium sandwicensium var. molokaiense. RNAcentral's name for it is "partial external transcribed spacer". Lineage: Eukaryota; Viridiplantae; Streptophyta; Magnoliopsida; Asterales; Asteraceae. The record is from RNAcentral.
UGAGUGGUGUUUGGUUUGUUACGGGUGGUUGGCUCUUUGCUUCCGCAACAACUUCUACCUGGCAUACCUCUUCAGUCUUGUGUCAAUGCUUGUAUUGCAUUGAAUGCACGGUGGGUUUCUUGUGUUGCAUGCCUAAUUUAAUGGUAUUGCUUGAUGAAUUGGUUUUCCUUUCGUUUUGCAUUGCCUAUGCGAUGUGAGAUGAACCUUGAAGCAGCCCCUGUGAUCCACUGAUUUGAUGCAUAUGCAUUGAUUUUGUGGCCCAUUGAGUGUUGCUCGGUCUCAUGGAUAUGGAACCUGGUGUGGGCAUGGAAUCUUAAUGGUUCCUUGUUUGCCCAAGUUUAGCUUUUCUAAAACGAUUGUCUAUCAUGUGUUAACAUGGUAGACUACUUCGAAUAUGAAUGCUACC